GCAACACAGCAAUCCACAGAGAAAAAGAGGGACACCCUCCCCUGUAGUUUGAGUAUAAUGCCAAACAGAAUAUAUAGGUUACCCUGUUAACAUAUCCUACCAUAUAGAUUCUCUUUUACUGUAUCUUUUUCUUUCAUAGUUUUCAACAUAUAUUUGCCUAAAGACCAUAUGUUAUGCUCCUUACUCGAUAACUUAAAUAUAGCAUCACAAAAUAAUGUUUUCUUGUUAGAGGAAUGUUUAUAUAUGUUGGAGGGCUUUGAAUUUG
This 265-nucleotide long non-coding RNA is filed under the name Malus domestica (apple). RNAcentral describes it as "long non-coding RNA (MDOM_LNC014897)". The record is from RNAcentral. Lineage: Eukaryota; Viridiplantae; Streptophyta; Magnoliopsida; Rosales; Rosaceae.